RNAcentral lists this ribosomal RNA (375 nucleotides) under uncultured bacterium. RNAcentral's name for it is "bacterial SSU rRNA". It matches the Rfam family "Bacterial small subunit ribosomal RNA", at positions 28 to 419 of the family's 1533-position model. The record is from RNAcentral.
GAUGAACGCUGGCGGCGUGCCUAACACAUGCAAGUCGAACGCUCGCAAGGGAGUGGCGCACGGGUGAGUAACACGUAGCUAAUCUGCCCUCAAGACAAGGAUAACUGUAGGAAACUACUGCUAAUACUUGAUAAGCUUACGGACUGUAGAGGUCUAUAAGAAAAGAUUUAUCGCUUGAGGAUGAGGCUGCGCGCCAUCAGCUAGUUGGUAAGGUAAUGGCUUACCAAGGCGACGACGGCUAGGGGACCUGAGAGGGUGACCCCCCACACUGGGACUGAGACACGGCCCAGACUCCUACGGGAGGCAGCAGUGAGGAACAUUGCUCAAUGGGCGCAAGCCUGAUGCAGCAACGCCGCGUGAGGGACGACGGCCUUC